GACGAACGCUGGCGGCGUGCUUAACACAUGCAAGUCGAACGGAAAGGCCUUCCUUUUGUGGGGGGCUCCAGUGGCGAACGGGUGGGUAACACGUGAGUAACCUGCCCUUGACCUUGGGAUAACUUCAGGAAACUGGGGCUACUACCGGUUAGGAGCUCCUGCUCCAUGGUGGGGGUUGGAAAGUUUCGGCGGUUGGGGAUGGACUCGCGGCUUAUCAGCUUGCUGGUGGGGUAGUGGCUUACCAAGGCUUUGACGGGUAGCCGGCCUGAGAGGGUGACCGGCCACAUUGGGACUGCGAUACGGCCCAGACUCCUACGGGAGGCAGCAGUGGGGAAUAUUGCACAAUGGGCGGAAGCCUGAUGCAGCAACGCCGCGUGCGGGAUGACGGCCUUCGGGUUGUAAACCGCUUUCGCCUGUGACGAAGCGUGAGUGACGGUAAUGGGUAAAGAAGCACCGGCUAACUACGUG
RNAcentral lists this ribosomal RNA (468 nucleotides) under uncultured bacterium. RNAcentral describes it as "partial 16S ribosomal RNA". It matches the Rfam family "Bacterial small subunit ribosomal RNA", at positions 28 to 507 of the family's 1533-position model. The record is from RNAcentral.